This 721-nucleotide long non-coding RNA is filed under the name Ictidomys tridecemlineatus (thirteen-lined ground squirrel). RNAcentral describes it as "lncRNA (ENSSTOG00000032444.1)". The record is from RNAcentral. Lineage: Eukaryota; Metazoa; Chordata; Mammalia; Rodentia; Sciuridae.
CACAUGCGCAGUCUCCAGGGAUCUGGGUGAUGUCCGCAGGGGCCAUUUUUCAGCUGACCACUAGAGCCUGUGAGGGACCUGUGACGCCAUCCCUAGGAGCUCUGCGUGCCCCAGAUGUGCAGCCCUGGCAGCUCCCUGGAGCACUGUGGACCUGAGGGGACCCCAGCUGUGGGAAUGAAAGGCCAUCACGCCCCGUGGGUCUGCAGCCCGGGGAAGUGACUGCAGGAUGAUUUAUGGCACGGCUUUCCCCACGGCGCGCCUCUUUGCAGAGGAUCCCGCUGCUUCUGGCAGACCUCAGGAUGCCGUUAACAUUUCAUGGGCUCCUCUUCAGCGAAGGAGCGCGGUGUACAACCUCGAGCUGGUCAGUGCCUCGUCCGGGUGAGUCUCCCCUCGUGAGCCUGUCUCCUCGAUAUCACAGAAACCAGAGACGACUCUAUGGCGGGGGACAGCGUGGCCAGGCGCUGCCUCUUGCUGGCUGGGACGCUGUCAGAUUGAAUUCAUUUCCAGGGAAAGCGUUGUUAACGUGACGGUUAAACGCCUGGUGAUUCUCGUUGCCUUCUCCGAACGAUGUUUUGUGGCUGGGCUUUGCCAGCAGCCAUGAAUGUUCAUUGUGUGCAUGUGCCACUGGACGGGACAGGGCCCAGCCAGGGACUGACUGGUGGGGCCGUGAGACCUGCCUGAGUCCAGCCCUGAGGGCUGGAGACCUGCUGCAGGCCCGCCG